Nothobranchius furzeri (turquoise killifish) is the source of this 5573-nucleotide non-coding RNA. The record is from RefSeq and is a predicted model, not a curated record. NCBI's taxonomy places the organism in Eukaryota, Metazoa, Chordata, Actinopteri, Cyprinodontiformes, Nothobranchiidae.
UCUAAAGUGAAAAUUACGUCCAUGGCUGCACCAACACACACUGCGCUUCUCUAAUAGUCUGCUCUCCUCUAAUCCUUCCUACUUCAGCGCUGUAGUGUCCUCCGCUGCAGACGUGUCCUUAUAACCGCUGCUACACACACACACUGCUGUCCUCCUCUGCUGCGGAGCGGGAGACAGCAGCUUAGUGCUUCAUGUGGGCUAAACAGCAACCAGGAUGAAAAGUAAUCGCACAUGCGGAAACCCCCCGGUGUUUGAUCCAACUCCCCAAUAGGAGGCGGUAGGUGUGAGUUUCAGCUGCCAAUCAGUCCAUAGUGUCUGCUCGGCACCAGCCGGACCUCCGAGGGAAGUAGUCUGAAAAAAAAGUCUCCUUAGAACGAAAUACACACAUGUGAGCCAUAUGUGAACAAAACAUUUGGUUCCGAACGCAUCCAUGCCGACCCAGAUGUGAAAGCGGCUUAAGUGAGGGAAAAUACUAACAUGGGACGACUGUGGGAAUAAGGAGUAAAAUAGUUUAGUUUUGAAAAUAGUUUCCAGCUCAAAACAGGAGACUUCACAGGUGUGAUCCUGGAAUUGUGGAUGAAGUCUGUCAGUGAAGCUCUUGGGAUCACAGCUCCACUUCUCAGUUCAGACUCCACAGAGCUCCUAGUGUGUGAGUUCUUGUUCUCUUCUGUACUUUUAACGUUAACACAGGAGAGUGUUUGCUGUUGUAUUUCAGUUAUAAUGUGUACAACCACACAAAACAUUAAAUUUACUCAAAAAAUCUGAAUGGAUAUUUAAGAUCUGCAGUGUGAACGUAGCCUUAAGCCUGAUUCAUGCGUCUCCGUCUGCGUCAGUGCGGAGACACGCAACGUCCUUGCGUGCCUGCCGGAGAGCUCCGCAAGGACGGACGGAGUCGAGCUCUCUUUUCUAAACAGCCGUCAGUCGAGACGGACAACGCAAGCUUGUGAUUGGUCAGGACGCCGCUGUUGUUUACAGCGCCGUCAUUGCACCCUCAAAAACAUAAAGAGAGCCGAGGAUAACAAGCGGCAGACACGGAGCAGCUUGAAGAAUACCUCGCGAAAAAACUCUAAAAACAUGAACUUUUAGUUCCCCCGUGACUGGAGAAGUGAAAAGAUAUGCAGCAAGCGUUUUAUUUGUGGACGGAAAUGACAGGAAACGUGGGUUUAGAGGUGGCGAGCGCAUGAAGAGGUGGAGGAGAAUGAGAGACAAAUAUGUCCAUGUUAAAAGUCUCUUAUAUACACAAAAAAUACAAUAUAAACACACUAUCUUGGACCAAUACAUGACAGGAUACUGCAGAACAGCGCUACGCCCUCUGUUGUCCUGCCGAGGAAUUGCUUUGCAACACUCUCCAGGAGACGGAGAAGUAUGAGAGCAAAACACUUCCGUCAAUCCGUGCGUGUCUGUCCCUUGCGGAGCUGACGGAGAAGCAUGAACCAGGCUUUAGACAGCAUGUUUCUUUGUACAUAAGCCGUACCAUAGACAUCAUUGGCUGCUGGAGAGUAACUGCUUCACCGCCAUAUUGAGUUGGUUUCUAACUCCAAAACCCAAUUUGAAUCCAGUCAUUGGAGCAACUAUGCCUGUUUUUGUGCAGCUCACAGUUCCAACAACCAGCAGUUACAUCUGCCUGUAAGCUUUGUUUGUUAAUAAAGUUAUAUAAAAAUAAAAAAACUGUUACGUCACGAUCUCCUUGCUCACUACAGGAAGUUUAAAAAAUAAUUUCAAUAAAGAUUGAAACACAAACAUGAAGCUAAAUGAGGAGCUCUAUGAACAUACUGAACGCCGCUUUAAAAGAUACUGAAUGUGAAAUAUGGCAUUUCUCUACUGCUGACUGAUGAAAGGGAGUCCGAUGUGCUUGUUGUCAUUUUGCAGGAGGUUGAACGAUCUGACAAGGUAGUUAGCCCGUAAAAAAAUUGUGCUGCAACACUCCCAGUGCUUUUUUUGUGGCCUUUACGGCUAUUCAUUGGUAGGCUCAUCACGGAACACAAAAAUGUAGCUUGUUUGUUAUGAUUUAGGUACGUACUGCCCCCUAGUGGCAGAAAACUACAGACUGUCGCUUAAAGAAAUAGCAUAAAAUGGCCAGGGAUGCACUUCAGUAUAUAUUCUCUUCUACGGUUUUAAAAUUUUGAAAUAAUUAUCUAUCGAUCGAUUAGAUUUUUUAAAAUUAAUAUGCUUUUAUUCAUCAACCAGCCCUAAAACCUACUAAAGGUUAAACAUUUUAAAUUGCAAACUGUACUUAAUUACGGUGAUGCAAGUAAAUGACAAUUACACCCCUGCAAAAUAGUAAAAGUUCUAAAUCAAAACCAUUUUGAAUUUUUGUUAUUCUUGUCCCUGCUAUUUGUAAGUUUUUUUUUAUCUAAUUUUGGCAUAUAGUAAUCCUGCACAACAAUGUGAUAAUUUGGUUUCUAUUAAAAUUUAGGAAAUUUUGCUUAUUUGUUGACAAAUUGCAGCUCAAUAUAGAAACAUCAUCAUUGUUCUCUUGUUGUAAUGUCAGGAUUUCCAAGAGCCAGACAUCGACUGGGAUGUUGCAGCAGAGUACAGCCCAGAUGUGGACGGUGCUGUUGUGGUCCCGUAGUUCGACAGUCCCCUCACUGAAGAGCAGCAUGCUGACCUGCAGUUGCUACUGGCACAAAAUUGGGAGCGUUCAAACACUAAGGAACUUUAUCUAUUGUGCAGAGAAUAUGUUAAUGCUGCUUUGUCAGAUUAAUGUGUGCUUGAAAUAAAAAAUCAAGAGAUCAGUUCCAGUGCUUUUUUAAUGUUACAAAAGAAAUACAUAACAUGUAUUUGAAAUGGCAAUAAGCCUAACUUUAUGGAUUCAUGUAACAAUGUCGCUUUCUAGCUCCAAAACAUUACAUUAUUUAACAAAACCAUUUGUCUUUUUGGAUUCAAAGUUAAAUAUGAAUCAUUAUACAGUAACCUGAACCCAGAACAGUGGCCAUCUUGUUUUCACUUAAUGUCUGCUAAAAUCAAAUCUAUCACAGACUGCCUGAGUAAGCUGACUUUCAAAGUCAGUGUAUGUAGUAACGUGCCGUGUAGGUAAGGUGAUUAAGUGUGGUCCAUACCGGGUGGUACUGUCGUGAUCAACAUUUACAGUUAUCUUGUAAAAUUCUCUUUCUGUGUCUGUUAGUGGCGCAUGUGCCUGGCCUGAAACCCACUGAAAAAAAUCCUUGCACUGACAACUGCUUUGCUCCACAGCCAUCUGAUGGGCUCCCAUCUUGGUCAUCUGUUCCUGAAGGGUGAAAAAAAAAAUCAGUGUGUCACUAACAUGAUUGAGGUUCCCAGGAAGAAAGAGGGGCUGAAGUGCCUGGUGGUGUUGUGGCAACAGCUCAUCCAAACCCUAGAUGGCCAGUCCUUCUCUAAGCUGACUUAGCAUCGGUAUGAGUCUCAUCACCGAAUGCAAACUGAUGGCCCUAGUAAAAAGAAUAAUGAACUUAGAAUAACUCAAUUUUCAAAAAUUGCAUGACUUGUUUAAUGCUACAUUAACAUAGCCUACUCAAUGAUGGCCCUUUUGCAAUUGCUGUGAAUUGACCAAUGGCAUCAGAAAGGUCUGUCAUUGCGUCUUCUUCGGCACGUUCGACCUUCAAUCAGAAACACUUGUUAGUACAAUUUACAGAAAAUAAAUUAUUCUGUUUAAUUUACCUCCUGAAUCAGGUUCUGGGUUUCCGUAUCAGUCACCUCUGGCACAUCUUCAUUUGUUAUUUGUCCAUGACGCAAGAAAUGGUAAGACCAAGUAGAAAAGAAAUUCGGUGCUGGUCCUGCUUGAACCAAGCUGGUGGCAAUGAUCUCCCCACAGAUCCUGAACACAAAACAAGCCAAGUUACACUGCAGAGCAGCAUCAUACUGUACAUACCUGUAUCUGUUUUCCUGGUAGUAAGAGAUACUAUAUUUGGGGUUUUGCCUUUGCAUGAAACUCCUUCAAAUAAGUUCAACUCAAGGCCUCGCAUCAUUUCUAUUGGGAAAAAAGAAAUGACAGUUUGCCAUUUUCAACUAUAUUCAAAGUUGGUAUGUUGACAUUAGCAAGGACUACAUACCGGUUAGGAACUCUCUGCAUAGUGCUCCUUCAUCAAUGCCGUGUUCUCCAAUAAAGGAAACACUUAGCUGGUUUUUGAGGGAAGCCUGCUUCUGUCUGGCCCACUGUUUCAGACCUCUCUGGUAAAGGUCGUCCCUUGUCACAUUAAUGUUUAAGGUUUUAGUGUUGUCAACUCUUUCUUGUAGGAACUUCAGGAUGUCUGAUAAGCUAUUGACAACAACAUUGUGUUUAUUAUUAUUUAUUUUAAAACCUACACAUUAACACAAAUGUUUGUAAAAAUUCUAACCAGCUUAAGUGCUUGGAAGAGUCAUCCACAUCCAGUAUGAUGCUGUUCAGAUGUGGAAACAAACAAAAAAAAAAGAUUAAACUCUCAUAGCAUAUUGUGUACAACGUGCAUGGGUAAAAACAUGCACCUGUCCUCUUCCUCCUUCACCACAAAAGCUGGCAUGCAAUUGUAUAGACUCCUGAGUAAAUUCUUAUCACACAAUGGACAGGAAACCUAUUAAAGACAUUUUUUUAAAUCAGUGACCAACAAUCAUUGUUAAGUAAACAAUAAUGAUUAACAUGAAAUGUAAUUAAAAUAUUCUGUAAAUUGCUUACGUGCAUGUUUGAAGUUUAAUUUAAAGGGAUAUUCAACCCUAAGUGAAAAUUUGUCUACUGUCUAAAUUGGCUCCUGCAAAUGUGUUACUUCUUACUUUUCAUUUGCAGUCAACAUGAUUAUUGAGCUCAACAGGAAUAACUGGUAUCAUAAUUUAGUAAUUUUACAGUUUUGCACACAAAAUGCUACUACCUCCCAUUAAGUUACAUGGUUUAUUCUAAUCUAAAGCAGACAGACUGCUGGCAGAUAAGAAUUACUGCGCUGGUUAAAACAAUCCUUUUUCAUUCACUUAUCCAACUCUGGGGAAUACGGCACUAGAAAACAUUUUUGGAUAUUUCCCUGACACACAUAUCUAGCCCCUCAUAACUCGACCCCCAGUUUCUGGAUGAAACACCGGACAUUUUAUUCCAUGUAGGACCCUAAUCCACCUAGCUGUGCCCCUGUUGCAAUAUUAAAUGCGAGGAGUCGUAAAAAGUAGCAUAACAAAACAAUUUUAUGGAAUAAACUGCAGCUAGUAGCCUUAAAAAAUAACUUACUUGAGCGUCUUGUUGGUUCUGGUCCAUUUUGCUGGUGCAGGUGAAACUAUCGCUCCAGAUCAGAGCGGGUAUUAGCCAGGCUGUUGGUGCGCAGAUGCGGCAGCCACACAGGAAAAUCCACAGAGCGCAAAACGAGCGCACCCCAAAGAGGUUUGUUCCCGCCCAGUCCCACAAGUCUUUCUAUUGGCUGAGCGGUUGCUAGGAGAUUGUACUUCUAAGUUUUGAGCGAGAGCAGACAAGACCCGUGAGAGCAGGGGACAGACUUGUGGGAGGAGUUUUGAUCCGUGUAGAGAAAAAGUUGUCACAUGAGAAGACAAUACCAGUGUAAGAAGGUUAAAUCUGAGCGCAAAAACAAAGAUUUGAAGGAGAACAGAGUGAAUUUGAAAGAGAGCAGACAUUUUGAGCGCAAGCA